UCCUGGGUAUUUCUAAUUUCUGUUGCUAAAUAUCUAAGAUCGUAGUCUGAUACAUGUCAGUGUUUUAUAUCCUUUUGAUAUGAUACCAGUCAUAAAACUUUGUUUAGUUCUUUAAUGGAGCCUUCUCAAUGUUAUCUCUGGUGCCGACCUUAUUUGAUGGGAAAAAGGUAAUCAUAGAUAUUGAUGAUGGUACUUUUGAUAUCAGUUAUGUAUUUCUAAAUCAAAACACGGAUUUCAAACUGGGAGGAAAAUGAUCAGGACUUCAUAUAUUUCUUCAUGGGCAUCUGCUUCAAUGUAAUCAUAGAUAGUCCAGUACUUGAUCACUUUUCCUUUCAUUAUUUUGAAAAGUAGCCACCUAGGCUGUGGAGGCAGCAACCCGAGCUUAGGUGGUCACCUGGCCUUCCACUUAGUACCAAAACACUUUGGCAGAUCUUAUAUGUUGACCGACCACCUUGCAAGAACCUCGAUGGCAAGGGGAACUAGUAUACACAAUAUCAUGGAGUUGUCAAUAUAUUAGGCCUGUUAGUUGAGUGGGUUAGAUAUCUUUAUUAUGGUACUCUAUCUUUCUUAGCUACAGCCAACCAAAUUCACUAAUACUUGAUUAGUUGCUUAUACUCGAUUUUGGAUUCAUUAGUCAUUAUAUGGUUGAACCUCUUGUUGCAUCAGUUCAUUUGAAGUAUUCAACAUGUUUCUUUUAAGAUUAAUUACCAUUGUUGCAUAACAGUAAACAUAUCAUGUCACACUAAAAUAGGUUUUGAAUAAAUUAAAAAUUCUAUAAUUAUGAAGAUUCUUUGUAAGAAUCUUUGGUGAGUGGCCACCGAGGAGGAGGGGCAGAUGUGUGCGUUUAUGAAUGCACAGAAGCUUAAGGGAGGAAGAGGGGUGGAUGAUAUUGUUAAUGAUAGGAGAGUUUCCUAGCAGCCUAACUGUUAGUACUCAGUAGAGUGCUGUUUCUACUUUCAAGAUGUCAUUUUGUCUUGAAUUUCAAAUAUUUCUCAUCAUAUAGUUGAUAUGAAUUGCUUUAACCUGAAUGAGUAAUUCCUUGUCCUGUUCCUUGGUUAACGCCACUAAUUUUCAUCAGCAGAUGAAGUUUCCAUGUGUCUGUGAGAACUUACAGUGCAGGUCAUUUUAGUUAAAACUGUUUCCAGUCUUAAAUGUUUGCAGUCAAAAUUUCAGAUCACCUGGAGAUCUUUAGUACAGUUCCAUGGUCAAUGUUAGUUGAUGAAGGUUUUUUUUGUUUGCCCCUCUGAGCUGUCUAAAGUUGGUUAUUGUGUUGUUUGAAGUUGUUGCAAAUGUUUCUUCUGAGUCU
RNAcentral lists this long non-coding RNA (1306 nucleotides) under Phoenix dactylifera (date palm). RNAcentral describes it as "long non-coding RNA (PDAC_LNC015077)". The record is from RNAcentral. Lineage: Eukaryota; Viridiplantae; Streptophyta; Magnoliopsida; Arecales; Arecaceae.